AGAGUUUGAUCAUGGCUCAGAUUGAACGCUGGCGGCAGGCCUAACACAUGCAAGUCGAACGGUAACAGGAAGCAGCUUGCUGCUUUGCUGACGAGUGGCGGACGGGUGAGUAAUGUCUGGGAAACUGCCUGAUGGAGGGGGAUAACUACUGGAAACGGUGGCUAAUACCGCAUAACGUCGCAAGACCAAAGAGGGGGACCUUCGGGCCUCUUGCCAUCAGAUGUGCCCAGAUGGGAUUAGCUUGUUGGUGAGGUAACGGCUCACCAAGGCGACGAUCCCUAGCUGGUCUGAGAGGAUGACCAGCCACACUGGAACUGAGACACGGUCCAGACUCCUACGGGAGGCAGCAGUGGGGAAUAUUGCACAAUGGGCGCAAGCCUGAUGCAGCCAUGCCGCGUGUAUGAAGAAGGCCUUCGGGUUGUAAAGUACUUUCAGCGGGGAGGAAGGUGUUGUGGUUAAUAACCGCAGCAAUUGACGUUACCCGCAGAAGAAGCACCGGCUAACUCCGUGCCAGCAGCCGCGGUAAUACGGAGGGUGCAAGCGUUAAUCGGAAUUACUGGGCGUAAAGCGCACGCAGGCGGUCUGUCAAGUCGGAUGUGAAAUCCCCGGGCUCAACCUGGGAACUGCAUUCGAAACUGGCAGGCUUGAGUCUUGUAGAGGGGGGUAGAAUUCCAGGUGUAGCGGUGAAAUGCGUAGAGAUCUGGAGGAAUACCGGUGGCGAAGGCGGCCCCCUGGACAAAGACUGACGCUCAGGUGCGAAAGCGUGGGGAGCAAACAGGAUUAGAUACCCUGGUAGUCCACGCCGUAAACGAUGUCUACUUGGAGGUUGUGCCCUUGAGGCGUGGCUUCCGGAGCUAACGCGUUAAGUAGACCGCCUGGGGAGUACGGCCGCAAGGUUAAAACUCAAAUGAAUUGACGGGGGCCCGCACAAGCGGUGGAGCAUGUGGUUUAAUUCGAUGCAACGCGAAGAACCUUACCUGGUCUUGACAUCCACGGAAGUUUUCAGAGAUGGAUUUGUGCCUUCGGGAACCGUGAGACAGGUGCUGCAUGGCUGUCGUCAGCUCGUGUUGUGAAAUGUUGGGUUAAGUCCCGCAACGAGCGCAACCCUUAUCCUUUGUUGCCAGCGGUCCGGCCGGGAACUCAAAGGAGACUGCCAGUGAUAAACUGGAGGAAGGUGGGGAUGACGUCAAGUCAUCAUGGCCCUUACGACCAGGGCUACACACGUGCUACAAUGGCGCAUACAAAGAGAAGCGACCUCGCGAGAGCAAGCGGACCUCAUAAAGUGCGUCGUAGUCCGGAUUGGAGUCUGCAACUCGACUCCAUGAAGUCGGAAUCGCUAGUAAUCGUGGAUCAGAAUGCCACGGUGAAUACGUUCCCGGGCCUUGUACACACCGCCCGUCACACCAUGGGAGUGGGUUGCAAAAGAAGUAGGUAGCUUAACCUUCGGGAGGGCGCUUACCACUUUGUGAUUCAUGACUGGGGUGAAGUCGUAACAAGGUAACCGUAGGGGAACCUGCGGUUG
Molecule: ribosomal RNA, 1522 nt
Filed under: Salmonella enterica
Lineage: Bacteria; Pseudomonadati; Pseudomonadota; Gammaproteobacteria; Enterobacterales; Enterobacteriaceae
Description: bacterial SSU rRNA
Rfam family: Bacterial small subunit ribosomal RNA
Source: RNAcentral